RNAcentral lists this ribosomal RNA (736 nucleotides) under Burmannia latialata. Its description in RNAcentral is "eukaryotic LSU rRNA". The stretch from base 311 to 466 matches the Rfam family "5.8S ribosomal RNA". The record is from RNAcentral. Lineage: Eukaryota; Viridiplantae; Streptophyta; Magnoliopsida; Dioscoreales; Burmanniaceae.
UAGGUGAACCUGCGGAAGGAUCAUUGUUGAGAUAUAAAUGACUUGAGAACUUGUUAAUCAUAUGUCAUCCUGCCAACACGGAUGCCAACUAAGGAGGGCGCGCUCUUCGAUUGGCAUGUUUGUUGGGUGGGCAUAGCCAUGCCACCGCACCUUGAUGGAUGUCGGGGUUGGCAACUGAUUAUGGGCACGGCAUGUGUCAAGGAAGUAAAUUUUGCUCAUUGCGGUGUGUGUCAUUGGCUUGGGGUCUGCAAUGCCCUCAAUCCAAAGAAUGCCCGCGGUGGCAUGAUAGUUGGUAUAUGUUAAAAAAAAUGACCCUCGGCAAUGGAUAUCUAGGCUCUUGCAUCGAUGAAGAACGUAGUGAAAUGCGAUACUUGGUGUGAAUUGCAGAAUCCCGUGAGCCAUCGAGUCUUUGAACGCAAGUAGCGCCCGAGACCUCUCGGUCGCGGGCACGCCUGCCUGGGAGUCACACCUUAUGUUGCUCCAUCCAACACAUCCGUGUUUUAGAUGGAAGCGAAGUUUGGUUCACCGUGCUUUUGACAGUGUCGGUGAGCUGAAGUAUGGUGACGAUGACGAAGUAGCGAGUACACACGACAUGUGGUGGGCAGAAAAUGCUUCUGAUGUGGCCGAUGUCGUUCUCUCCUCGUCAUACGCUAGCACCGUGUGUGCCGGGGGGAUCGUUGGAUGCCGAUGCGGUGUUCCCCCCUUGAUAGCGACCCCAGGUCAGGCGAUUCCCANG